AACGAACGCUGGCGGCAUGCCUAACACAUGCAAGUCGAACGAGACCUUCGGGUCUAGUGGCGCACGGGUGCGUAACGCGUGGGAACCUGCCUUUAGGUUCGGAAUAACUCAGAGAAAUUUGAGCUAAUACCGGAUGAUGUCUUCGGACCAAAGAUUUAUCGCCUUUAGAUGGGCCCGCGUUGGAUUAGCUCGUUGGUGGGGUAAAGGCCUACCAAGGCGACGAUCCAUAGCUGGUCUGAGAGGAUGAUCAGCCACACUGGGACUGAGACACGGCCCAGACUCCUACGGGAGGAAGCAGUGGGGAAUAGUGGACAAUGGGCGAAAGCCUGAUCCAGCAAUGCCGCGUGAGUGAUGAAGGCCUUAGGGUUGUAAAGCUCUUUUACCCGAGAUGAUAAUGACAGUAUCGGGAGAAUAAGCGCCGGCUAACUCCGUG
This 433-nucleotide ribosomal RNA is filed under the name uncultured bacterium. RNAcentral describes it as "partial 16S ribosomal RNA". It matches the Rfam family "Bacterial small subunit ribosomal RNA", at positions 29 to 507 of the family's 1533-position model. The record is from RNAcentral.